Molecule: long non-coding RNA, 444 nt
Filed under: Carica papaya (papaya)
Lineage: Eukaryota; Viridiplantae; Streptophyta; Magnoliopsida; Brassicales; Caricaceae
Description: long non-coding RNA (CPAP_LNC003690)
Source: RNAcentral
GCUUCUUUCAGAAUGUCCAACCUAACUUCGGGGUCAUUAGGCACCCAUACUCAAAUCUCGGAAUCAGAAGAGCCCAUCGUUGGUCAUCCUAAAGUCACGAGGUUCCUCUGACCUAAACUCGUCUAUUUUCUUCAAAAUCUCGGGAUCUGUAGACUGGGAUUCCCAAAUUCUCAUGAAGAGAGUGAGCUGGAUUUGAAUUUUGGCGAGGUAUACGCCUUUGCCAUAAUGAUUUAAGUGGAGGUUCUGAAUUGUCUCAAGUAUCCUCCAACCAGAAACCACCAUCUAUGUCAAUAGGGCUCAGUCCUUCCUGCUAAAAGCAUUUACAACUACAUUACCCCCUACCUGGGUGGUAUAGGAUCCUGCAGUCAUAAUCCUUCAGGAGGUUCAUCCAAUGUCUAUUUCUCAUGUUCAAUUCUUUAUGAGAAAAUAAUUACUUUAAACCCU